GCCUGAGUAGCUCAGUCAGUUGAGCAUCUGACUUUGGCUCAGGUCAUGACCUCAUAGUUCAUGGGUUCGAGCCCCGCAUCAGGCU
This 85-nucleotide transfer RNA is filed under the name Felis catus (domestic cat). It matches the Rfam family "tRNA". From Rfam's summary of the family: Transfer RNA (tRNA) molecules are approximately 80 nucleotides in length. Their secondary structure includes four short double-helical elements and three loops (D, anti-codon, and T loops). The record is from Rfam by way of RNAcentral. Lineage: Eukaryota; Metazoa; Chordata; Mammalia; Carnivora; Felidae.